This 201-nucleotide ribosomal RNA is filed under the name uncultured bacterium. RNAcentral describes it as "partial 16S ribosomal RNA". It matches the Rfam family "Bacterial small subunit ribosomal RNA", at positions 1300 to 1500 of the family's 1533-position model. The record is from RNAcentral.
GCAGGCUGCAACUCGCCUGCAUGAAGUCGGAAUUGCUAGUAAUCGCAGAUCAGCAUGCUGCGGUGAAUACGUUCCCGGGCCUUGUACACACCGCCCGUCACACCAUGGGAGUCGGAAAUGCCCGAAGUCAGUGACCCAACCGUAAGGAGGGAGCUGCCGAAGGUGGAGCCGGUAACUGGGGUGAAGUCGUAACAAGGUACC